Nasonia vitripennis (jewel wasp) is the source of this 2137-nucleotide long non-coding RNA. RefSeq lists it as uncharacterized. The record is from RefSeq and is a predicted model, not a curated record. The transcript is spliced from 7 exons. NCBI's taxonomy places the organism in Eukaryota, Metazoa, Arthropoda, Insecta, Hymenoptera, Pteromalidae.
AAUAUUAUAAUCCCAAAGACAAAUAAUCUUCCUCCUAAGCAAGUAACAUUAGAAAGAUGUUUAUAUGUAUAUAACCUACAAAGAGAUUAAAGCUGUACCUAUAACAGUAUGACGAAUAAUGCAUGAUACACAAUGUUCAAACUGUUCCGAAAUCCGUAGAAUAUUUCAUAUUUUUGAAAAAUCAGAAUCUGACGCUAGGUCCAAAGCAGAAAAUAAAAAAAGAGACUGAUUAUUCCAAAGAAAUUGACGUCUAGCGAUACUAAUGACAGUUUCGAAUUUGAAGAAAAAAAACCAAAAAAAGGUAAAAUUAUAGAAAAUAUGGUUCAGUGCAUUAACAGUCAAGAAACGAUUAAAAAAUACAAUGAACAGAUACAUAUUAAUAGUCGAAAGAGAUUUAGCUUUAAUAAUACAGACAAUAGUGUGGCUGAAGUAAGCGUAUCCGACUUGAAUAAAAAUCACAGUCAACCUGUUCUUUUAGAAGAUUGUCAAAAAUUCGAUGGUUUGAAAAAAAGAAAUGCAGUAAAUCAUAAAGAAAAUGAAGUACAUCCUUCUGAGCCCUUUCAUUUUUCAACUCCAAAAACGCAACAACUUCUUAUUCCGUUCCAGUCAUCACAAACAGAUAUCUCACCAAUAGGAGGCUCUUCAAAUCUGUCUGGAUCUAAACAUAAACGUAUUGUUAGUCCCGAAAAGGCAAAAGAUUCUGCCUUAUCUCACACGAAGUCUGUUUCCCUUCCCGUUAGUCUAAGAAAAUCGUCGAAGCUGAUAUCGCGCGAAUUGUUCUCUUCUACUCAGACACAUGUAUCGCGCACCACAGACCGAUCGCGCACCCCAGGCGGAAUGCGCACCCCUGAUGUAACGCGUGUCCCGGAUAGAUCGCGUACCAUAGACAGAUCGCGCACCUUAAGCGGAUCGUGAACCCGGCAUGAAUCGCGUACCCCCGAUGUAUCGCGAACCCCAGGUGGACCGAGCACCCCAAGCAAAUCGCACAUCCCAGGCGGAUCGCGCACCUCAGUCGGAUCACGCACCCCAGACAUAUCGCGCACCUCAGGCGGUUCGCGCAUCUUAGGUGCAUCGCGCUACCCAGGUGGAUCGCGCAUCCCCCUAGGCAGAUCGCGCAUCUCAGGCGGAUCGCGCACCCCAGACAUAUCGCGCACCUCAGGCGGAUCACGCACCACAGACAUAUCGCGCACCUCUCGUCAAUCGCGAACCCCUCGUCGAUCGCGAACCUUUCGUCGAUCGAAAACUCCUUGUAGUUCGCGAACCCCUCGUAGAUCGUGAACCCCUCGUACAUCGCGAACUACUCGUCGAUCGCGAACCACUCAUCGAUCGCGAACCCCUCGUCGAUCGCGAACCCCUCGUAGAUCGCGAACUCCUCAUCGAUCGCAAACCCCUCGUCGAUCGCGAACACCUUGUACCCCGCGUAGACAUCAUACCCUACCUGAUAUUCCGACACCACAACGUCCUCAGCAAAAUUAUGAACCUAGACCACGCCGUCCAGGUCCAAGAUGUAGGACACAAAGGAACGAACCCGAGAUUUGAAAUGAAGCAAGAGACAAUGAAGGAUUGUCUGAUUCUGAGCCGUGUGCAGUUGGCAUGGUGAUGCAGUAUAAACCAAAAUUAUAUAGGGCGUAUAAAAAGGCUGGAUAUGAUUUAGGAACAGUCACCGCAGAACCGCAUGAACGGUAUGAAAUCGUAGAUGAUAAAGUUUACCUCGGAGAAAAGGUCAAAGUAGGAAAGGAUACAUGGAGAAUAAUGAAACGUAGCAGAAGGUCAAAAUUUUUAAGAGAUAUAGGGAAUGUGUUUUGGACAAAACGAAUAAUAGCGCAUAGAUGCUUAGACCUUUCUAAAUUAAAAAAUAAAAGAUUUGGCAAUCAGCCUAUACAGUUAUUUUCACCGAAGAAGAUAAAUUUAUAUCUUAGUUUAUACUAGGAUUAUCUAAAUACCUCAAAUUAUUAUAACGAAUUAGAUCGAGACGUUAAAGAUAUAUAUAUUAAAAAUGCAACUUCUAGUUUAAGUUUCCACGAAAGAAAUGAAAGACUUUACCAAAAGCCUAAUUAAUAAUGAAGAUUACUUCUGAAGAAACAUUUAUUUUGUACUUUUAUUAAACAAUACACGAUAUUUUUUAUUAAAACUCGAA